AGACGUCGUUGUGAGACAGGCCUGAAUGGGCCCUUCUGACCACCUGAGCCUGGCCUUGGCUCUGCUCUGAGGAUCUGAAGGUUCAGAGCUCACAGGGACCAAGGGAAAAAGCAAGUGCUGGGGGAUGUGCCACUCUCUCAUUGUUGCAGGUUGCUUUCCCAGACACUCACUGGAAGGAAGAACGGGAAUUGUUAGUUUAAGCUCAUCACUAAAGUCGCAUCAAAUGCACGGACCUUCUCCCAGGAAGGCGGCCUUUUGCAUUAUGAACCCCACUGGAAGAGCUCCAAGUCUUCACUUGCUGUGGUCAAGAACUGUAACCACAGGAGAGACGGGAUUUCACUAUGUUGGCCAGGCUGGUCUUGAACUCCUAACCUCGUGAUCUGCCUGCCUCGGCCUCCCAAACUGCUGGGAUUACAGGCGUGAGCCACCCCACCCGGACUACACCAGACCUAUGAUUCAGAUCUGUCAGCACUUUUGGGGAUGUGGGUCUUGCCCUGGCCUUCAGUUCCUCUCCAGAUUAAGAACCUGCAUGCUUUGCCCACAGACAGAUGGCUACAACAAAACUGCACAACUUGGUAGAUCCCGACUGCCAGUGGUCAGUCUAUGCAGCCAGGGCCCUGUCACUAAAAUCUGUAGGCUGUUCAGUGUGAAGAUGAGGAGUGACUGACAGUCCAACGUCAGGGCAAGGAUGACUUAGGGAUCUUCACCCAGAGGAAUACUAUGUACAACUGUUAAAAUGUUUACAGGGUGUGUAGGAACCACAGAAAAUGCUUCUGUUUCAAUGUCACAAGACAAAAAGCAGGAAUGCAAAGUUGCGUUCACAGUGUGAAAAAGAAAAUGCUUGGGAAAAAGUCCAGAAGGAACUACACCAACACGUGGCCAGGCAUGAUGGCUCAGUCCCGUAACCCCAGCACUUUGCGAGGCCACAGCAGGAGGAUUGCUUGAGGCCAGGAGUUCCAGAUCAGCCUGGCCAACAUAGGAAGACCUCGUCUCUACUAAAAAUUAAAAAUUCGGCUGCGUGUGGUGGUGUGCGCCUGUACUUCCAGCUACUAGGCAAGGCUGAGGUAGAAGGAUCGUUUGAACCUAGGAGUUCGAGGCUGCAUGGGCCAUGAUUGUGCCACAAUGCUCCAGCCUGGGCAACAGCAAGACACUGUCUCAAAACAAAUAAAUAAAAAUAAAAAUAAAUACACAAAAAAAAAAAAAAAA
Molecule: long non-coding RNA, 1206 nt
Filed under: Homo sapiens (human)
Lineage: Eukaryota; Metazoa; Chordata; Mammalia; Primates; Hominidae
Description: EPN2 antisense RNA 1 (EPN2-AS1)
Source: RNAcentral